Molecule: RNA transcript, 2570 nt
Organism: Lynx canadensis (Canada lynx)
Lineage: Eukaryota; Metazoa; Chordata; Mammalia; Carnivora; Felidae
Gene: STAMBP
Gene name: STAM binding protein
Exons: 13
Source: RefSeq, a predicted model, not a curated record
GAUCAGCGGGAGUGGGAGGGGCGGGCGCCGGAUGUGACGUUUCCGGAAGCUCCGAGUGUCGUCCGCGGGGACAGAACUUCUUGGUCCUGAUGUCUGACCAUGGAGACGUGAGCCUUCCGCCCGAAGACCGGGUGAGGGCUCUCUCCCAGAUGGGUAGUGCAGUGGAGAUAAAUGAAGACAUUCCACCCCGACGGUACUUCCGCUCUGGAGUCGAGAUUAUCCGAAUGGCAUCCAUUUACUCUGAGGAAGGCAACAUUGAACAUGCCUUCAUCCUCUAUAACAAGUAUAUCACGCUCUUUAUUGAGAAACUACCAAAGCAUCGGGAUUACAAAUUGGCUGUCAUUCCUGAAAAGAAAGACACAGUAAAGAAGUUAAAGGAGAUUGCAUUUCCCAAAGCAGAAGAGCUGAAGGCAGAGCUACUGAAACGAUAUACCAAAGAAUAUACAGAAUAUAAUGAAGAAAAGAAGAGGGAAGCGGAAGAGCUUGCCCGGAAUGUGGCCAUCCAGCAGGAGCUGGAGAAGGAGAGGCAGAGGGUGGCACAGCAGAAACAGCAGCAGUUGGAGCAGGAGCAGUUCCAUGCCUUUGAGGAGAUGAUCCGGAACCAGGAGCUGGAAAAGGAGCGACUGAAAAUCGUGCAGGAGUUUGGGAAGGUGGACCCUGGCCUAGGGGGCCCACUGGUGCCUGACUUGGAGAAGCCCUCCCCAGAUGCGUUCCCCGCUGUACCUGCCACGUCCACACAGCCUGCGGACUGUAAUACGGCGGGAAGGCCUGCCAAGCCACCCGUGGUGGACAGGUCCUUGAAACCUGGAGCGUUGAGCAACUCAGAAAGUACUCCUACAAUCGACGGACUGCGCCAUGUGGUGGUGCCUGGGAGGCUCUGCCCGCAGUUCCUCCAGUUAGCCAGUGCCAACACUGCCCGGGGAGUAGAGACAUGUGGAAUUCUCUGUGGAAAACUGAUGAGGAAUGAAUUCACCAUUACCCAUGUUCUCAUCCCCAAGCAAAGUGCCGGGUCUGAUUAUUGCAACACCGAGAACGAAGAAGAACUUUUCCUCAUACAGGAUCAGCAGGGUCUCAUCACACUGGGCUGGAUUCAUACUCAUCCCACGCAGACCGCCUUCCUCUCCAGUGUUGACCUACACACUCAUUGUUCCUACCAGAUGAUGUUGCCAGAGUCAAUAGCCAUUGUUUGCUCCCCCAAGUUCCAGGAAACUGGAUUCUUUAAACUAACUGACCAUGGACUAGAGGAGAUUUCCUCCUGUCGCCAGAAAGGAUUUCAUCCACACAGCAAGGAUCCACCUCUCUUCUGCAGCUGCAGCCACGUGACCGUUGUGGACAGAGCAGUGACCAUCACAGACCUUCGAUGAGAACUUGAACACCUCCCAAGAAUUAUAAAAUCAUACCAGUGUACUGUAGCCCCUUAAUUUAAACUUUCCAGAAAGCUCUGAAAGCUUUUUUAGACAGAAUUGAAACUAAGUGGAAGACCUGAAAGAUCAAUAAUCAAUGAAGAAAUGGAGAAAAGUGUACAAGUAUUAUCUCCAUAUGCUUCUAUGAAUGAGUUCUUUCAAACUUUCAAGGAACAGGAAGAUGUCUUCUCUGUUAAGGUCAUUGCUGCCUGGAUGAGACCCAUCCCUUUUGUGGUAGAUAAUCUGCAUAACUCAAAGACUAUUGAUUUAAAUAAAUGAAAAGAUCAACAACUCCCAAGUGGAAGAAACUUUUUGACAUUAGAAAGAAGUGCUCAGUUACCUAUCAAAGCCACAGUGAUAUGGACCAACAUUGCUGCUGGGAAUGCAAAAUGGGUACAGCCAUUGUGGAAGGUUGUUUGGAAGUUUCUUACAAAACUAAACACACCCUCACUGUAUCAUCCUGCAGUCACCACUUGGUAUACAAAUGGGUUGAAAAUUCAUGUCUAUACAAAUACCUGCUCAAGGAUGUUUGGAACAACUUUAAACAGCAUCUAAGAUGUCCUCCAGUGGGUGAUUGGAUAAAUAAACUUGUGUGUCCAUCCAGACAGUGGGGCUGUUAUUCCUUACUAAAGGUAAAUGGGCUAUCAAACCAUAAAAAGACAUGAAGCAACCUUGAAUGCAUAUGAUUAAGUGAAAAAAGCCAAUCUAAAAAAGAUUCACAAAAAUAAAAUAAAAAAUCAAAAGGCUACGUAGUGUGUGAUGCCAACUAUAUGACAUUCUGGAAAAUCAAAACUAUGGAGACAAUGAAACAAUCAGUGACUGCCAGGAGUUGGAGUGGGUGAAUAGGGAUGAAUGGCUGGAACACAGAGGAUUUUUAGGACAGCAAAACUAUUCUGUAUGACACUGUAAUGAUGGAUACAUGUCAUCAGACAUUUGUCAAAACAUAUGAAAGGCACAGCAUCAAAAGUGAACUCUAAUAUAAACUAUGGUCUUUGGGCAAUAAUAACAUGUCAGUGUAUGGUCAUCGGUUGUAACAAAUGUACCAAUCUGGUUGGGGAUGUUGACAGUGGGGGAGGCUAUGUGUGUGGAGGGGUAGGGCAUAUAUGGUAAAUCAAUGUACUUUCUGCUCAAUUUUUCUGUAAGCCUAAAACUACUCCCCAAAAUAAA